AACGAACGCUGGCGGCAUGCUUAACACAUGCAAGUCGAACGGAACCUUCGGGUCUAGUGGCGGACGGGUGCGUAAGGCGUGGGAACCUGCACUUAGGUUCGGAACAACUCCCCGAAAGAUAAGCUAAUACCGCAUAAUGUCUUCCCACCAAAGAUUUGUCGCUUCUGGAUGGGCCCGCGUUCGAUUAGCUAGUUGGUAGGGUAAAAGCCUACUAAGGCGACGAUCGAUAGCUGGUCAGAGAGCAUGGUAAGCCACGCUGGGGCUGAGGCACGGCCCCAACUCGUAGGAAAAGCAGCGGUAGAGAGUAUUAGACAAUGAGGAAAGACCUGAUCAAGCAGUGUCGUGGAAGAGGGGAUGGGCGUAGGAUUGUAAAGCUCUUUGUCACGAGAUGAUAAUGACGGUACCGGGAGAAGAAGCUCCGGCUAACUCCGUG
RNAcentral lists this ribosomal RNA (433 nucleotides) under uncultured bacterium. RNAcentral describes it as "partial 16S ribosomal RNA". It matches the Rfam family "Bacterial small subunit ribosomal RNA", at positions 29 to 507 of the family's 1533-position model. The record is from RNAcentral.